CGAACGUUGGCGGCGUGCUUAACACAUGCAAGUGGAGGGAUGAAGCACCUUCGGGUGUGAAUUAGCGGCGAACGGGUGAGGAACACGUGAAGAAUCUGCCUUCAACUCUGGGAUAACUCCGGGAAACCGGGGCUAAUACCGGAUAUGAGCCUUGAUCGCAUGAUCGGGGCUGGAAAGUUUUUCGGUUGAAGAUGACUUCGCGGCCUAUCAGCUUGUUGGUGAGGUAAUGGCUCACCAAGGCGACGACGGGUAGCCGGCCUGAGAGGGCGACCGGCCACACUGGGACUGAGACACGGCCCAGACUCCUACGGGAGGCAGCAGUGGGGAAUAUUGGGCAAUGGAGGAAACUCUGACCCAGCGACGCCGCGUGAGGGAUGAAGGCCUUCGGGUUGUAAACCUCUUUCAGUAGGGAAGAAGCGAAAGUGACGGUACCUACAGAAGAAGCACCGGCUAACUAUGUGCCAGCAGCCGCGGUAAUACAUAGGGUGCAAGCGUUGUCCGGAAUUAUUGGGCGUAAAGAGCUCGUAGGUGGUUCGAUACGUCGGAUGUGAAAAUCAGGGGCUCAACCCCUGACCUGCAUCCGAUACGGUCGAGCUAGAGUUUGGUAGGGGAGACUGGAAUUCCUGGUGUAGCGGUGGAAUGCGCAGAUAUCAGGAGGAACACCGAUGGCGAAGGCAGGUCUCUGGGCCAAUACUGACACUGAGGAGCGAAAGCGUGGGGAGCGAACAGGAUUAGAUACCCUGGUAGUCCACGCCGUAAACGGUGGGCGCUAGUUAUGCGAACCUUCCACGGUUUGUGCGACGCAGCUAACGCAUUAAGCGCCCCGCCUGGGGAGUACGAUCGCAAGAUUAAAACUCAAAUGAAUU
This 866-nucleotide ribosomal RNA is filed under the name uncultured Actinomycetales bacterium. Its description in RNAcentral is "bacterial SSU rRNA". It matches the Rfam family "Bacterial small subunit ribosomal RNA", at positions 30 to 911 of the family's 1533-position model. The record is from RNAcentral. Lineage: Bacteria; Bacillati; Actinomycetota; Actinomycetes; Actinomycetales.